GCGCAGGCUGGGCCGGCUGCCUGGGCUGCGCGGCUUCCCGGCAUUCAGAAGGCCCGGGUCAGGGGCAGCCCCUCAGCCCGAGGGCAGUGGCCAGGGGUCGGGCCAGUGGCCCGGCCACCCAGCUCCUUACCUGGGGGAGCAGUGUUUGGGGGAUCGCAGCAGUCCCUGCGGCUGCCUUCCCGGGUGGCGGCUCAGGGCAGGGCCCAACCAGGAAGAGCGCUCCUCUCCGCCCUCCUCCCGCGGCCCCUCCGCCCUCCUCUCCCCCUCCCUCCUCCUCCUCCUCGGGCUCCUACCCCGCUUCCUCUCCGCUCUCCCUUAUCUCGGCUGCACCUUCUCCGACUAUCUCCCUCCGGGUGUCUCCCCGCCCCUCCCUCCGCCGCGAACUCCGCGAAGGGACAAAUUAGUGAAAGGCAGAGCUGUGCCCCGGGAGGGGCCGCUGCGGCCCAGACGGAAGGGCACCGCGGGGGAGGGGGAGGGGGAGCGGGAGCGCGGGGGAGGGCCGGGCUGGGGGUAUUUUUAACCCGGGGCAGCUGCUCCAGUCGCAGGGCCGGGCCGCCCCACCCCACGCGGCACCCCCGUAGGGCAUUCCCGGCCGCCCGGCCCGCCUCGUCUCCCCCCGCCCCGCCCCCGCGCGCCCCCAGCGCGGGACCGAGAUUACCUCAGGCUGCGGCAGCCGCUCAGAGGAGGGGCCGGGGUGGCGGCGGGCGCACCCCUGCCGGCCGCUGGGCACACGGCAGCCCGGGCCCCGCCGCACCCGGGUUCCGCGCCGCCGCCCGCCCCCGCGGCUCGGGCUCGGGCUCUGGGCGCCUCCACCCCGCCUUAGCGGCUCCGCGCGUCCUCCCGCCGCCAGGCCCCGGCUCGCUGCGUGACCUUGGGCGAGUCCCUGUCCUCCCUCCGCGACCCCGCCCCCGCCUCGGUUUCCCGGGUGUGUGCGCCGAGAAUGGGACGGAGGCGAGCAGCUGCGGGAACCCAUGUUUCCCUUGCGCUCUGGGAUUUCUUGAACCCGGAACCUGCGAGCGGUGGGGCUCCCUGCCCGCGCCCCCCGAGCCCUCGGCCCACCCACCUGGGAGCGCCCUUGUGCCGCCUGACCCAGGAGAGGGCGGCAGAGGCUGCAGGCAGGUCGGCGGGCCCACUCUAGACGACAGAUCCUGCCUGCGGCCUCCCAAGCUGUGCUGGGAGAAGUCGCGGAGCCCAGAAGCCCAACGGUGGAGGACUGCGGCGUUCCCCCAGCUCAGGGCUUUUCACUGA
RNAcentral lists this long non-coding RNA (1248 nucleotides) under Ursus thibetanus thibetanus. RNAcentral describes it as "lncRNA (ENSUTTG00000007077.1)". Lineage: Eukaryota; Metazoa; Chordata; Mammalia; Carnivora; Ursidae. The record is from RNAcentral.